Molecule: ribosomal RNA, 533 nt
Filed under: uncultured Lysobacterales bacterium
Lineage: Bacteria; Pseudomonadati; Pseudomonadota; Gammaproteobacteria; Lysobacterales
Description: bacterial SSU rRNA
Rfam family: Bacterial small subunit ribosomal RNA
Source: RNAcentral
CUGGCGGCAUGCCUAACACAUGCAAGUCGAACGGCAGCACAGCAGAGCUUGCUCUGUGGGUGGCGAGUGGCGGACGGGUGAGUAAUGCAUCGGGACCUACCCAGACGUGGGGGAUAACGUAGGGAAACUUACGCUAAUACCGCAUACGUCCUACGGGAGAAAGCGGGGGACCUUCGGGCCUCGCGCGGUUGGACGGACCGAUGUGCGAUUAACUAGUUGGUAAGGUAAUGGCUUACCAAGGCGACGAUCGCUAGCUGGUCUGAGAGGAUGAUCAGCCACACUGGGACUGAGACACGGCCCAGACUCCUACGGGAGGCAGCAGUGGGGAAUAUUGGACAAUGGGCGCAAGCCUGAUCCAGCAAUGCCGCGUGUGUGAAGAAGGCCUUCGGGUUGUAAAGCACUUUUAUCAGGAACGAAAUACCAGCGGGUUAAUAACCUAUGGGGCUGACGGUACCUGAGGAAUAAGCACCGGCUAACUUCGUGCCAGCAGCCGCGGUAAUACGAAGGGUGCAAGCGUUAAUCGGAAUUACUGG